RNAcentral lists this ribosomal RNA (253 nucleotides) under uncultured bacterium. Its description in RNAcentral is "partial 16S ribosomal RNA". It matches the Rfam family "Bacterial small subunit ribosomal RNA", at positions 524 to 776 of the family's 1533-position model. The record is from RNAcentral.
UACGGGGGGGGCAAGCGUUGUUCGGAAUUACUGGGCGUAAAGGGCUCGUAGGCGGCCAACUAAGUCGGACGUGAAAUCCCUCGGCUUAACCGGGGAACUGCGUCCGAUACUGGAUGGCUUGAGUUUGGGAGAGGGAUGCGGAAUUCCAGGUGUAGCGGUGAAAUGCGUAGAUAUCAGGAGGAACACCAGCGGUGUAGACGGCUUUCUGGACCAUUGCUGACGCUGAGGAGCGAAAGCGUGGGGAGCGAACAGG